Molecule: non-coding RNA, 372 nt
Organism: Mugil cephalus (flathead mullet)
Lineage: Eukaryota; Metazoa; Chordata; Actinopteri; Mugiliformes; Mugilidae
Source: the annotation of a RefSeq genome assembly
AUGGUAGGAGGCAUUGGAAACACAGAGAAUGGAACGGGUCUAACUGAUGAGAGUGAUGUCACCCAGACCCCCAUACUGUGGAAAUAUAAGGGUGAUAAUGCAACCAUAGACUGCAGACACACCAAAGGUGCUACCUACUUCCAGAUGUACUGGUACAGACAGCUGCCAGGAGAACUCAUGAAACAAGUAGUAUUCACUACAGCAAGCAGCCAACCUGACUUUGAAGCAGAAUUCAAGGGUCACAAAUUCUCAGUCACCAAACCCGACGCUCACAGUGGAACAUUCACCGUGAUGGAUCUGGUCCCAGGAGAUAAAGGCUUGUAUUUCUGUGCAGUCAGUCAACACAGUGAUACAGACGCAUGUGAGAGCUGA